Molecule: ribosomal RNA, 416 nt
Filed under: Escherichia coli
Lineage: Bacteria; Pseudomonadati; Pseudomonadota; Gammaproteobacteria; Enterobacterales; Enterobacteriaceae
Description: partial 23S ribosomal RNA
Rfam family: Bacterial large subunit ribosomal RNA
Source: RNAcentral
AAUGGGUCAGCGACUUAUAUUCUGUAGCAAGGUUAACCGAAUAGGGGAGCCGAAGGGAAACCGAGUCUUAACUGGGCGUUAAGUUGCAGGGUAUAGACCCGAAACCCGGUGAUCUAGCCAUGGGCAGGUUGAAGGUUGGGUAACACUAACUGGAGGACCGAACCGACUAAUGUUGAAAAAUUAGCGGAUGACUUGUGGCUGGGGGUGAAAGGCCAAUCAAACCGGGAGAUAGCUGGUUCUCCCCGAAAGCUAUUUAGGUAGCGCCUCGUGAAUUCAUCUCCGGGGGUAGAGCACUGUUUCGGCAAGGGGGUCAUCCCGACUUACCAACCCGAUGCAAACUGCGAAUACCGGAGAAUGUUAUCACGGGAGACACACGGCGGGUGCUAACGUCCGUCGUGAAGAGGGAAACAACCCAG